UGUGGGAGCGAGCCUGCUCGCGAAAGCGGUGUUGCUGACACAUUGAUGCUGAAUGUGCCAAUGCCUUCGCGAGCAGGCUCGCUCCCACA
Molecule: unclassified non-coding RNA, 89 nt
Filed under: Pseudomonas reinekei
Lineage: Bacteria; Pseudomonadati; Pseudomonadota; Gammaproteobacteria; Pseudomonadales; Pseudomonadaceae
Source: RNAcentral